AUGGAUGAGUGAAUUAAUUUCUAUAAUGUUACAAUAUUUUCACACCCAUCGUCAGACUUCUUCCGACAGCACAGCGAGGCAGGUACGGAUCAUUCCCAUUUUGCAGCUGAGAAAUGUUGAGGCAACAGAAAGGCCUGCAAAGGUUGCUGUACAUCAUUUUGUUGGAACUCCUGGGCUCGUGGACGGCCUGAGUUGAAAGGGACGAAGGUCUUUAUUUGCAACAUAUGGUCUACUGGGAGUCCAGCGUUCUGUGCUUGGGACAGUGGGACUCAGACCCGACUCCUUGUUCCCGAGUCUGAUGGGGAAGGUAGACACGUAGGUACAUAGUUACAACCGGUGUGAUAACGAUGAGACGACUAGGUGUUUCCAAAAAAAUAGUAUGUGCAGGAGAGGAUUUUGGAGUGGUACACAAAGGAGAAUUUUUAAAACUUAAUAAUUAUGUAUUUACUUGUUAAAAAUGGAAUUUUCCCCCUUUUCUUUUUAUGAAUAUACUGUAUAAUACAUGCACAUGGCACAGAUUAAAAAAAAAAGUUUUGAGUGAA
RNAcentral lists this long non-coding RNA (542 nucleotides) under Pongo abelii (Sumatran orangutan). RNAcentral's name for it is "lincRNA". The record is from RNAcentral. Lineage: Eukaryota; Metazoa; Chordata; Mammalia; Primates; Hominidae.